Molecule: ribosomal RNA, 400 nt
Filed under: uncultured microorganism
Description: bacterial SSU rRNA
Rfam family: Archaeal small subunit ribosomal RNA
Source: RNAcentral
GUGCACCAGUCGAGAAUACUUUACAAUGUGCGAAAGCACGAUAAGGGAACUCUGAGUGCCUCCUAAGGAGGCUGUUCUGAUGUCUAAAAAGCAACAGAAGUAAGGGCUGGGUAAGACCGGUGCCAGCCGCCGCGGUAACACCGGCAGCCCAAGUGGUAGCCACGUUUAUUGGGUCUAAAGCGUUCGUAGUCGGCCAGGUAAGUUCCUUGGUAAAUUUAGCCGCUUAACGGUUAAGCUUUCAGGGAAUACUGCUUGGCUUGGGACUGGGAGAGGUCAGAGGUACUCCGGGGGUAGGGGUGAAAUCUAUUAAUCCCUGGGGGACCACCGGUAGCGAAGGCGUCUGACCAGACCAGGUCCGACGGUGAGGGACGAAGGCUAGGGGCGCGAACCGGAUUAGAUA